UAUGUGUGUGGAGGAGGGGG
This 20-nucleotide microRNA is filed under the name Callorhinchus milii (elephant shark). Its description in RNAcentral is "eshark_mir-466_1". Lineage: Eukaryota; Metazoa; Chordata; Chondrichthyes; Chimaeriformes; Callorhinchidae. The record is from RNAcentral.